ACGGCCCAAUCCACAGAUUGUAGGCCCCAACACCCAGGCCGUGCAUCGGGCUGAUGUAUAAUAUGCUUUUGGCAGAGCUUCUAUAAGGACUCAUUAUCAAUUUACAUUUAGCCGGGAAAGCAUGAAAAUAAGUACUUCAUGUAAAGCCAUUGUGCACAUAUUUGUUGCUUUAAAAAAAAAAAAAGAUUCAAUUCAUUAGGAAAAGCCAGUUCUGGCCAAAUAUUUUGAAUGGCAGCCAUUGUUAUUUUUCAUUUUCUCCUCCUUUUGCUUUCUCUGUUUCCCUGGUUUAAAGUGUGCACUCUACUAAUUUAGAAGAUGGCAGAAGCAUUCAAGAGGAGGACCUUCUGAGCAGGGCGAGGCAUUGAGUUCAGGGCAGUUUUCAUGGUAGCAUCUGCCUGUGCUGAAGCAGAAAACAGCAUCCGGGACCCCCGUGACUUGGGCACUCUCAGGGCAGCCCGCAGAUGGUUGCAUGGGGUUCAGAGACCCUUCCCACCUGGCUCCUCUUGUCUGCACCCUGCCCUGUCAGUGUGGACCUAGGGUCACACUCUGAGGCCCUGCAAAACGUCACCUGUGGGCACCUCCAGUUUUCCAGUGCUUGGUCCACAGCUCAUCUCAGCAGCUGCAUCGUCAGGGCCAUUCCCAAAGCCUCAGGUCAUGGCAGGGGCCUAGGGAGACAGCAAGGCCUUUGCCCCUUAAGCCUGAUGAAAAUUCCUAGGAGAGACUUCAGUGUCCUUAUGAAUUUCAGUGAAGCUGAGUGGGAUUAAGGUGAAAGACAGAAGCUCUAAGUGCCUUCUUCAGGGAGACAAAGCGCUGGCGAGUGCAUCAUUUAAACCGAAGAUGGAGUGAGCGCCAGCAGGCAUUGGUGGUUGUUGCUGUUCUGAUGGGAUUGCUUCGGAGAUGGCUCUUCAUGGCGGAACACGCAUGUGUCAGUGGGGUUCGGGCUGCGGGUGGUGGCUGAGUGUCCCUGUGUGUCUUUUACAGGAACAGUGUGUGGUGGAUGCAGCUCUGGAGUACGUUCCUGGCGCUCACCAGUUUGGUCUCACACAAAACAGCCAUUUCAUCUUGCCUUUUAAUCAGUCGGCUGUCAGAAAGAAGCUCUCGGUUGAGCUAAGUAUCCGCACGUUCGCCUCCAGCGGCCUGAUUUACUACAUGGCUCAUCAGAACCAAGCAGACUACGCCGUGCUCCAGCUGCACGGGGGCCGCCUCCACUUCAUGUUUGACCUUGGCAAAGGCAGAACAAAGGUCUCUCACCCUGCACUGCUCAGCGAUGGCAAGUGGCACACGGUCAAGACAGACUAUGUUAAAAGAAAAGGCUUCAUAACUGUUGACGGCCAAGAGUCCCCCAUGGUGACUGUGGUGGGAGACGGAACCAUGCUGGAUGUGGAGGGUUUGUUCUACCUUGGAGGCCUGCCCUCCCAGUACCAGGCCAGGAAAAUUGGAAAUAUCACCCACAGCAUCCCUGCCUGCAUUGGGGAUGUGAUGGUUAACAGCAAACAGCUGGACAAGGACAGCCCGGUGUCUGCCUUCACGGUGAACAGGUGCUACGCAGUGGCCCAGGAAGGAACAUACUUUGACGGAAGCGGAUAUGCCGCUCUUGUCAAAGAGGGCUACAAAGUCCAGUCAGAUGUGAACAUCACACUGGAGUUUCGAACCUCCUCGCAGAAUGGCGUCCUCCUGGGGAUCAGCACUGCCAAAGUGGAUGCCAUUGGACUAGAGCUUGUGGACGGCAAGGUCUUGUUCCAUGUCAACAAUGGUGCUGGCAGGAUAACAGCUGCAUAUGAGCCCAAAACCACCACUGCGCUCUGUGAUGGAAAAUGGCACACUCUUCAGGCUAAGAAAAGCAAACACCGUAUCACUCUGAUUGUCGACGGGAACGCAGUUGGCGCUGAAAGUCCACACACCCAGUCUACCUCGGUGGACACCAACAAUCCCAUUUAUGUUGGUGGCUAUCCUGCUGGUGUGAAGCAAAAAUGCCUGCGCAGCCAGACCUCGUUCCGCGGGUGUUUGAGGAAGCUAGCUCUGAUUAAGAGCCCACAGGUGCAAUCCUUUGACUUCAGCAGAGCGUUCGAACUGCAUGGAGUUUUCCUUCAUUCCUGUCCUGGGACCGAGUCCUGAACUUCAAGCAGAAUCCUCAUUUGGAAUCAUUGCUGAUAUUUUGAGGAGAAGUGUAUGUGUGAAUUAAGAAUCUCUUCAGUUCAUAUUUCAUUUCCAACUCAGGUUAAGUGUUUCUGGGGAGAGAUGUUGUGUUUACGUUACACUAAAACCACAUGUGCAACAAAUACCUCCAUUAAAUGAUCUAAAAUGU
RNAcentral lists this small RNA (2305 nucleotides) under Pongo abelii (Sumatran orangutan). RNAcentral describes it as "retained intron". The record is from RNAcentral. Lineage: Eukaryota; Metazoa; Chordata; Mammalia; Primates; Hominidae.